CCUACGGGAGGCAGCAGUGAGGAAUAUUGGUCAAUGGGCGCAAGCCUGAACCAUCCAAGUCGCGUGAGGGAUGACGGUCCUAUGGAUUGUAACCCUCUUUUGUCGAGGAUCAAAGCCCGCUACGUGUGUCGGGAAGGAGAGUACCCGAAGAAAAAGCAUCGGCUAACUCCGUGCCAGCAGCCGCGGUAAUACGGAGGAUGCGAGCGUUAUCCGGAUUUAUUGGGUUUAGGGGGAGCGUAGGUGGAUUGUUAAGUCAGUUGUGAAAGUAUGCGGCUCAACCGUAAAAUUGCAGUUGAAACUGGCAGUCUUGAGUACAGUAGAGGUAGGCGGAAUGCGUGGUGUAGCGGUGAAAUGCAUAGAUAUCACGAAGAACUCCGAUUGCGAAGGCAGUACACUGGACUGCAACUGACACUGAGGCUCGAAAGUGUGGGUAUCAAACAGGAUUAGAUACCCGAGUAGUC
This 461-nucleotide ribosomal RNA is filed under the name uncultured bacterium. Its description in RNAcentral is "partial 16S ribosomal RNA". It matches the Rfam family "Bacterial small subunit ribosomal RNA", at positions 338 to 795 of the family's 1533-position model. The record is from RNAcentral.